CUGGGGAGAUAAGCAAGUGGGUGUCAGGCAGAGGGAGGGAGGUGUCAACCACAGAGAAGAGCCAGGCAAGAGCACUGUCAGCCCCACCCUCAGCUCUGCCCGUGGAAGCACACCCCACACAGCUGCUUAAUCUCUAAGCCAGUGAUGUCCCAGAUCCCUUCUUGACCUGGAGUCCUUAGCUGGUGCCCCUCAAAAGUGUCCAUGUGGCAGAGGACCCAUAAGCUGGGCUCUCUGGGAAGUCAGCUGGCUGGCCUCAAGGCUGAAGUGCAAUGGCAUGAUCUCAGCUCACUGCAACCUCUGCCUCCUAAGUUCAAGUGAUUCUCCUGCCUCAACCUCUUAAGUAGCUGGGAUUACAGGCACCCACCACCAUGCCCGACUAAUUUUUGUAUUUUUAGCAGAGACAAGGUUUCACCAUGUUGGCCAGGCUGCUCUUGAACUCUUGACCUCAGGUGAUCCACCCGCCUCCGCCUCCCAAAGUGCUGGGAUUACAGGCGUGAGCCACGCCCGGCCAGGUCAUCUGAUCUCGAGUGAGUCAUUUUCCUUAUCUGAGUGUCAGUUUUCUUGCCUCUAAAAUGGGAAUAAUAGCAUUCAUCUCCCAGAGUCACUCUCCUGAGACAAAGCGUGUGGAAUGGCUUUGCGUGGUUCCUGGCAUAUGAUGAGCACUCACAUGCCAAGAGCUAUUAUUAUUGUGGUGUGUGGAUGGGGUAGGGGAAGACUGCAUUGAAUGAGAGCAACGAUCCCCAACCACGGAAGGGUCAAUAAAUAAAGCAAGAAAACUAAAUGUAGUUAAUCUCUCCAAUUAUGCUGCCCAAAUUCCGAUCUUCCAAAGUGGGUCAGGAAUAACCAUCACAAUUUUAACACUUUUAGGAAGCUGACUUGCAGAUGCUUGCCUAACUAGGUAAAGGGUAAUGUACGAUAUCAAUAGUCACCCACAUUUGCCUCGUGCUUGCUUUGGGCCAGGCACCAUCCUAAGGGCUUUACGUGGAUUAUCUUGAGGAAACCUGGAAAGAAUUCUGUGAGGCGAGUGUUAUUAUUAUCCCCAUUUGACAGAUGAGGAAAGAUGCACAGAGAGGUUAAGUGAUUUGCCAUAAGGUUACCCAGUUGGGAUUAAAUCCAGCACAGCUCUUAUUCUUAACCACUCUGCAUAUCGACUCUGUCUGGAGGUCUUUUCCAGCUUUGUGUGGAAAGGG
Molecule: long non-coding RNA, 1190 nt
Filed under: Papio anubis (olive baboon)
Lineage: Eukaryota; Metazoa; Chordata; Mammalia; Primates; Cercopithecidae
Description: lncRNA (ENSPANG00000050795.1)
Source: RNAcentral